GAUGAACGCUGGCGGCGUGCCUAAUACAUGCAAGUCGAGCGAACAGACGAGGAGCUUGCUCCUCUGACGUUAGCGGCGGACGGGUGAGUAACACGUGGAUAACCUACCUAUAAGACUGGGAUAACUUCGGGAAACCGGAGCUAAUACCGGAUAAUAUAUUGAACCGCAUGGUUCAAUAGUGAAAGACGGUUUUGCUGUCACUUAUAGAUGGAUCCGCGCCGCAUUAGCUAGUUGGUAAGGUAACGGCUUACCAAGGCAACGAUGGGUAGCCGCCCUGAGAGCGAGGUCGGCCAGAUUGGCUGAGAGACACGUCCCACACUCCGACGGGGGGCCACAGCAGGGACUCUUACGCAAGGCACGAGUGCGUAACAGAGCAAAGCGGGGUAAGUGAUGAUGGACUUAGGACCGUAAAGCUAUGUUAUCCGGAAAGAACAAAUGUGUAAGUAACUGUGCACGUAUUGACGGUACCUAAUGAAAAAGCCCCGGCUAACUCCGUG
This 497-nucleotide ribosomal RNA is filed under the name uncultured bacterium. Its description in RNAcentral is "partial 16S ribosomal RNA". It matches the Rfam family "Bacterial small subunit ribosomal RNA", at positions 28 to 507 of the family's 1533-position model. The record is from RNAcentral.